RNAcentral lists this ribosomal RNA (254 nucleotides) under uncultured bacterium. RNAcentral's name for it is "partial 16S ribosomal RNA". It matches the Rfam family "Bacterial small subunit ribosomal RNA", at positions 524 to 776 of the family's 1533-position model. The record is from RNAcentral.
UACGGGGGGGGCAAGCGUUGUUCGGAAUUACUGGGCGUAAAGGGCUCGUAGGCGGCCAACUAAGUCAUACGUGAAAUCCCCCGGCUUAACCGGGGAACUGCGUCUGAUACUGGAUGGCUUGAGUUCGGGAGAGGGAUGCGGAAUUCCAGGUGUAGCGGUGAAAUGCGUAGAUAUCUGGAGGAACACCGGUGGCGAAGGCGGCAUCCUGGACCGAUACUGACGCUGGAGGAGCGAAAGCCAGGGGAGCAAACGGG